CCUGUUGCCAAAAUGAACCUGAAGAAUAAUUGGUCUGAGCAUUCUAAAUCUAUGUUAAUUUUUUUCCUAUUUCCUAUUUUUUCCUAUUUUCCUUUUUUCAUUUGUAUCACUCUGAACAGUUUAGCAAUAGCCAUGGUAUGUCUUUUACCACCCACACCUGAACAUGCAGUUGUUUUAUAGCAGCUGUGUUCAGAGAGCAUGGGGCAGCUAAUUCGGAACACAAGAUUAUGUUUCCUUUUUUUCUUUUCCCUAAUUUAUUUCUCAUUUUGUGUUUUUUUUCUUCUUCAGGAUUUUAGCUUGGUUUCCUUUUCACUGAAUUCCCUGAGGUUUGUAAUUCUAGCACUGUCUGAAGGACUAAUUUAUUUUUCUGCUUAUCCAAAUCUUCUUUUGACCAUUGCAAGGACUUAAUUAAUUUCUUUCCUACAGUCUAAAAAUGCACAGUACUGUUUCUUUUUGUUUCAUCGAGUUCUAGUUGCUGCUCUGUCUUCUACCACAUAUCAGUGUUGGCCAGCUUAGAAUUAAUGAGGACAACUUCUUCCAAAGAAUAUCUGCUUCUUUUCCUUUUAACCAGUAAAAGAAAAUAGUUUUUCCUGUCUCCAUCUAGAUAUAAUUUCAUAUUUUGUUUAACAUAUACUACCACUUUAUCCUCACCACAAAUUUUCUAUAAACGCACUGUUUAGAAAUAAAUAGCAAUUGUCUUAACAGGUUAUUCAAAUUAAUGUGUUCUGCAUAUUGAUACCUAGGCAUAUGAAGUCUAAUUGAACUCAAAGAUGGUUGGUUUUUUUUUGAGUAGGUAGGAGUAAUGCAUAUAUGUAAUAAAAUGGUACCUGUUUGCUAGAAUGAAAGGAUACACAUGUAAAAUAAUUGAAUUACAUUGAACUAAAAUAAAUUAAAUCGUGUUUUAAUAAAUGUAACAAAGAGAAAAAAGACCUGGAUUUAUAAAGUGGCCAUAAGUAGAAACUUUACAUUCUAUAUUCCCUGAGUUUUUCUGGGCAACAAGAUAAAAGUACUUUGCUUUUGCUGUUAUCUUCUGUGGGAUUUUUCAAAAUUCUAACACUGUUUUAACUUUUUGUGAUCAACCAGAUUAGCUGAUUUCAAAAUUAGAUGAUUAUUGGUUUUAGAGACGAAUCAAUUAAUGCCAGAGUAAUAUCACACCCUUCCAAUCUAGACCAUGCCUAAUUGAAUUGUGGAUAGAAUUCCGGGAGUUGAAGUCUGCAUAUCUUCCAAUAGCCAAGUUUGAGAGCACUGGCAUAAACAUAACUGGAUGAGCAGAUCUAUCCUAAAGGUAGUCAAUAUAUAUAGAGAAGUGGAGAAGAAAACUUUUAAUAAAACACUUGGUUUUUAAUAAUGAAGUCACAGGUUCAAUCACUAGCAUUUCUAAUAAAAGCAAUCUGAAAUAUUAAAAAAUAUUUUAUAUUGCAAAUCCUUCAAACUAAAUUAUGACAGGAUUCAGAUAUUAAAAUACCAGUUGAUUUGCUUGGUUUUGUCUUGGCAUGUUGCACAUAUUGCUAUGUGUGAAACAGCAUUCAAAAUAGUAAUACUGCUCUGGAACUUCACUGAAAUUUAUAGCUGUGUCUGUUUCAAUGGGAAAACUGCUGUUUGAUAAAAUUAUUUUAAAUUUUUAAGUAUGUAUGUAUGUAUGUAUGUAUGUAUGUAUGUAUGUGUAAUGUGCAAACACAAAUGUUUAUUUUAAAGAUAAGGUUUAUCCCAACAACAUACAAAGCAGUAGUAAAAGAAGAAGCCAAAUGGUAUAGAAUGAUUAUUUUCCCUGCUAAGCCCCUAUUGCACAUUAUAAUACAUCUGUAAUUGUCAGAGGAGAUUCCAUAUUGACAAGAUUGAUGUCAGAGUAUUUCAUUACUACAUUUAGAGUAAGAGCAAGUAAAUAAACAUAAAAAUAUGCCAACUAUAUUAUAUUUUCAGUCACCCAGGAUAAAAAUCUCCUAUUUUUGAUUGUUGAAGUAUACGCCUACUAGUUUUGCAAACACUUCAAGAAUGCAUAGAUCCAUGUACUGAUCAGCUGCAUUCAGAAAACCUUACUGCAGCUGGUUGUUUAUUAUCAUGUCUCCCAUUUCUUUCGAAGUGAUAUGGUCAGGAUUCAGUAUGUGGAGGAUCCUCUAUUAAAGUAAAUAGAAAAGCUUGGUUGAAUAAGGGUUGAAGUGUGGACUUCAGAAACGGUGAAGGGGAAACAAUAGUUAUAUACACAAUUAUGUGCAUAAAAGAAGCUUUUGGAUGUGGUAAGAUGUAGCUCAUGUAUUUAUCUUAGUGUUGCUGAUAUACACCUGUGAAGGAGGUAAUGGUUGCUAUUUUAUGUUUAUAUAUUGUAUUUGUUAAUUGUUAUAUGAUGAGAUCUAUUUGUUUGUUUAUUUUUGUAUGCCGUUUGCUGCUCAGAGUUACAUUUAGUUGAAUUGGGCAGCCAGAUCUUAAAAACAAACAAGCAAAGCGUAGCCUAUGUAAUACAGGUCCUUGACUUACAAUCAUCUGUCUAAUGACUGUUUGAAAUUACAAUGGCACUGAAAAAAGUGACUUACAAUUGUUUUUCACUCGACUGAUACAGCAUCCCUAGAGUCAUGUGAUCAGAAUUUGGAUGCUUUGGCAACUAGCAUAUAUUUAUCAUGGUUGCAGUGAGUCCUGAGGUAAUUGAAAACCUUUUCUGACUUUCUGACCAGCAAAGCCAUGGGGAAGCCAAAUUCACUUAACAACGAUGUUACUAACUUAACAACCGCAGUGAUUCACUACAUAACUGGCAGGAAGGAUCAUAAAAUGGAAAACUCAGCAAUAAGCUGACUUUGUAUAAAUAUACAAAAGUAUGAAGGCUAUUGCUUAACGCAUUGUAAGCCGCCCUGAGUCUCCGGAGAAGGGCGGCAUAUAAAUCAAAUUAAAAAAAAAAAAAAACAACUCUCUUGCUUAUCAGUGGAAAUUUUGGGCUCAAUUGUGGUCGUAUGUAGAGGACUACUUGUACUAUUGCUUCAAAAUCAAUUUCUUUAUUCAUUCAGUUUCUGUAGCUUCCCAAUUCAACCAGGGGACUUUCCUUUUGAAUAGUUCUGCCAUAAGGGAUCUUAUUUUUUCUUACAGGAUUAGCAAGAUUAGAAGAGUCUUUCCACUGUGAGCAAGAGGUCAGAUCACAUAUUCUCCAGCCAAAGGAAGCAAACUGCAGAGGAUGAAAUUUUCUCAGAAUUGCUAUUGCAUUCUUCAAGUUCAGUCUUUCUUAUUAAUUCUUUCUGGUGAUGACAACUACCAUACUGAGUGAAUGAAGCAGUGCUUAUCUCUUCAGCUGGUAGGAAAUAGGAAUGAUGUCACUGUUUGUGUAUGCUGGGAAGACAAUCCUUCCGAAGACAUAUGGCUGCCUCAUUUUACUUGAGAUUUGAUUGGAUGUAUGCAUCAUUGAAAGAGUUUGGAAACUCUGCACAAAUGUUCCUAGGAGAUAAUGAUUUUAUGAUUGAGAAUCUUAUGUUAUAAUAGGGUUUAUAAAUGAGGUGAAGAAAAUUUCCUGGGGCUGUUGGAUUUAGCUUCAUGUUUUUCCUGGUAGAUAUUUAUAAUAGUGCAGGCCUGUACAGCUUCUAGAGGGACUAAAUUAAAAAUCAUUGCCAACCAACCAACCGAUCAGUUGUUUGGCUACAGGUAGUCCUCAAUUUACAACAGUUCAUUUAGUGACAAUUCAAAGUUACAAAGUUACUGAAAAAGUGACUUAUGAUUGCUUAAUGACUUAUGAUUGUUUUUCACACAAUCAUUGCAGCAUCUGCAUAGUCAUAUGAUCAAAAUUCAGACACUUGGCUUAUGACAGUUGCAGUGUCCUGGGGUUAUGCUAUCCCUUUUUGUGACCUUCUGACAAAGUCAAUGGAGAAACUAAAUUUGCUUAACAACCAUAUAACUAAUUUCACAACUGCAGUGAGUCACUUAACAACUGUGGCAAGAAAGGUCAUAAAAUGGGACAAAACUCACUUAACAAAUGUCUCGCUUAGCAACAAAAAUUUGGGUUCAAUUGUGUUGUAAAUUGAGGACUGUCUGUAUUGGAUAUAUGGAAGUAUUAUGGUUUGCAGUAGUGAGUCCUGGAGGUGCUCAGCAAUGUGUCUUUUAGGGCAGCAGUAGAGGUCAAUUUAUUACUUUUAAAAAACGCCAGCUGGCUGCACAAAGCUGCUUAGUGGACCAGGGGUUGUGCAGGCCUGGUUCUAUGUUGUGUAGUUAAUGAAAUGAUAGCUCAAAUGUCAUAUUUGCAUCUCAUUUGAAAAAGCUAUGAAGAAAAUAUCUUUCAGAGGGGACAUAAAAGAAGGUUGGUUCAAGAGAUAGGAUUAGAAACAAAACUAUAGAGGUCACAGGUUACAUUCAUUAACUUUGAUAUAUUAACAAAACAUUUGUCGUCUAAAUGAUUGGUAUCUGAGAGUACUUCAAAAGUAAAGUAUAAAUUGGCAAUGGAUAGAAAAUUCAAGCAAAAACAACAACAACACUAAUACUUUGUACAAGUAGCAAUUAAUUUACUAGGCAGAGAAAUUAUGCUGUUUUUAAAAAAUCAGAUUUCAUUCAAUUUGAUAAAAAAUUGCAAAAAGAAUUCUUUAAAUAUGACAUUAUUGUAUUUAUUUAGUUAAGAGAUUACUAAGGGAUGCCUGGGAAAGUCCUGUCUUUCAUCAUACAAUAAUCUUUUCAUAUCUAUCUGUCUAUCUGUCUGUCAAUCUUUAUCUGCCUGCCUGCCUGCCUGCCUACCUAACUACCUAAAGGUGGUGAACAUAACUAAUACUCCUGCCUCCUAUGUUUUGCAAAACAACCACCCUGUGGAUGGGAAUGAUUGUCCCAUCCAGCUGUCUUUUAUGCCUAAGGCAGGCCUGCAAUUCAUAGUCUCCAGCUUUCUAGGCCAGACUUUAUCUCUACACCAAAUUGGCUCUCAUAUCUCUCAAGCUAGAACAUAGUUUCCCAAAUGGAGGUGUACAUCCAUUGAGGAAUAAACAGACCAAAUUCAGGCAAGGUGUGAACCUUACACAUUGUUGCAAUAACUCCGCCUUUCUCAAAAAUUUCAUUGUAUUGUUUUAAUUAUUCAUUUGUGUUCAUUUUGUUGUUUGGAUUUGAACAGGAGAUUUGCACAUCAAGAUUACACUAAAGGGAAGUAUGAUGGCAAAACAUUUACAAAACACUUCAAGAAUUGUUCCUUUGGUUUCAAAGUGAAAAGUACAGUAUAUUUGGGAGCACAUACAGUACGUUAUAAUGUUAUAAUUCUUUAAGCCAAAUGUCUGUUGCACUGUACAGUGCACUGAAUUGCACUGUAACUGUGGAGAACAGCCACCUGAUCCUGGGAAAAGAAGCUGCUGCUUUAAGGAGUUGCCAGUAAUGCUACAUGAGGAUUCAACAUACUUUACAGAAGUCAAAGUAGUUUUUUUCAACAAAAUAUUUAAAAUGAAGUGGAAUUGGUCCACUUAAACAUAUUUUGUGAAGACUUACUAUGUUAAAGCAUGUAUAUUUAAAGCAAAUUUAAUGUGCAUAUUUCAAUUAAAAAAUGUAAAAGCAGUACCACUUGAAUGAAACUGAUGCAACCUUAUGUCUGACAGUGUACAAUUUUUGAAUAGAAAAUAGAAGCUUCUAUUUGUUCUGCUCAUUUGCUAACUCCAAAACCUUUUAUUACUCAUAAUGCAACUUUUUUCCCAAGUUCAUAAUUUUUCCCUUCUACAUUAUUGUUGCAUGAUUUUUGAUCGCUCUCUAUUCCUGCUGAUCAGGAUAUAUCCUAAAGUAUAGUGCCACAUGGAAAUACCUAGUUGGAAGCAAAGAAGAUAACCUUAAUACUUUAAUUUCUGUAUCUUUUACUGAUUUAGAUAGUUGUUUUAUAAUAAUGCCUGUUAAGAUAACAAUGUUCUCUAUAAAGUAUUAAAAGUACUUACAUGUUGUUCCUGACUAAUGGCCAGUUAUUUAAAGUUAUGACGGCCUUGGAAAGGAUGCUUUAUGGUCCAUAAACAUUUCUGGUCAUCGUAAAAUCAGAUAAUUAAACAUGGUUAAAUGAAGUUUGUCCAUGGCUGCCACAACAUUUCAUUCAUAGUUAAUAUCUAGUGAGCCUAGACUUUCUAGUGUGAAAUGUAAAACUUCUCUUAUUAUUCAUUUUGCAGCUAUUGUUUUUAUCAUCCUAUCCUCCCUUAAAUUUUCUGUGUUCAAACUUUCUGAACAACUUUGCAAAAAGAUCUGUUAUAUUUUUAAUUUCACAUUAGCUGAGAUGGAUGCCAAAAAGCUCAACCACCCACCUUUGGUCAACAAAUAUUACUGCAAACAAGCAUGAAUUGGAAGUGCAGAACAAACGAAGAAAUGUUUUUGACAGGCUUCCCUGGUAGUGUAGGAGGAUAUUCUGCAAGUCUAAAAAUACCUUCAGCAGUUUUCAUAGACAAUUUGAAAUAUCUCCCUCACUACAGAAGAUGGUUCCAGAGCUCACAUGCUAGAUCUGACAGAUGGCUUAUAAGAAUCUUUUCUUGUACUUCAGUUGCAGAAAAGGGGAAAAAUCAAUAACUAGUUAAUUCUUAGAUUUGCAUAAGGCCAUUGAAGCGCUAUUGCCAACCAAGUCAAUGUGUCUUCCUUCUUAAAUAAAGUUCAUGUUUUUU
Non-coding RNA from Pantherophis guttatus, 6563 nucleotides. The record is from RefSeq and is a predicted model, not a curated record. Lineage: Eukaryota; Metazoa; Chordata; Lepidosauria; Squamata; Colubridae.